AUUGAACGCUGGCGGCAGGCCUAACACAUGCAAGUCGAGCGGAUGAAGGGAGCUUGCUCCUGGAUUCAGCGGCGGACGGGUGAGUAAUGCCUAGGAAUCUGCCUGGUAGUGGGGGAUAACGUCCGGAAACGGGCGCUAAUACCGCAUACGUCCUGAGGGAGAAAGUGGGGGAUCUUCGGACCUCACGCUAUCAGAUGAGCCUAGGCCGGAUUAGCUAGCUGGGGGGGUAAAGGCCUACCAAGGCGACGAUCCGUAACUGGUCUGAGAGGAUGACCAGUCACACUGGAACUGAGACACGGUCCAGACUCCUACGGGAGGCAGCAGUGGGGAAUAUUGGACGAUGGGCGAAAGCCUGAUCCAGCCAUGCCGCGUGUGUGAAGAAGGUCUUCGGAUUGUAAAGCACUUUAAGUUGGGAGGAAGGGCAGUAAGUUAAUACCUUGCUGUUUUGACGUUACCAACAGAAUAAGCACCGGCUAACUUCGUG
This 484-nucleotide ribosomal RNA is filed under the name uncultured bacterium. Its description in RNAcentral is "partial 16S ribosomal RNA". It matches the Rfam family "Bacterial small subunit ribosomal RNA", at positions 30 to 507 of the family's 1533-position model. The record is from RNAcentral.